This 302-nucleotide ribosomal RNA is filed under the name uncultured bacterium. RNAcentral describes it as "partial 16S ribosomal RNA". It matches the Rfam family "Bacterial small subunit ribosomal RNA", at positions 508 to 807 of the family's 1533-position model. The record is from RNAcentral.
GCAGCCGCCGCGGUAAUACGAAGGGUGCAAGCGUUAAUCGGAAUUACUGGGCGUAAAGCGUGCGUAGGCGGUUUGUUAAGUCUGCUGUGAAAUCCCCGGGCUCAACCUGGGAAUGGCAGUGGAUACUGUCAAGCUAGAGUGUGUCAGAGGAUGGUGGAAUUCCCGGUGUAGCGGUGAAAUGCGUAGAGAUCGGGAGGAACAUCAGUGGCGAAGGCGGCCAUCUGGGACAACACUGACGCUGAGGCACGAAAGCGUUGGGAGCAAACAGGAUUAGAUACCCCCGUAGUCCCUGUCUCUUAUAC